GGGGGGGGGGGCACCUAAACUGGACCAAGGGAAGCCAAUUCCCCAUAGUUUCAGGCCAGUUCGAGAGUAGUUUUGAUUUUGGUUCCAUUAAGAUCCAGGUUGAGGCAAUCCAAUGAUUGAAACAAUUUUUUGAAUUCUUUUGAAGAAAAAAUACAAGGUUCUGAUGGACCGGACCAGUGUUUCUGGUUCAAGUCCAAUUUGGGUUGAAUGGGGGAGGAAUCGUAACCAACUUGCACCCACCUACACUGGCCCCCUCCCUCCCCUCCUACCGAAUCCAGGCCGAUUUGAUCCUGUGGAACCACUGGCCAGUUCAGGUCCCUUGCUGGUUUCAAGCCCAAACCAGCCUGUGGCCACCCCUAUAUGAACUCUGAUGCUUCAUAGUUCAGCUAAACUAUACUCAAGUCCGCAUGAGUGCAAGGCCAUCUCCAGCAGUUGCAUAAAAAAUUAAUUUGAAGCCAACAGAAACCAACCUUAUUCGCCCACAUCAGGCCAC
This 493-nucleotide unclassified non-coding RNA is filed under the name Hevea brasiliensis (rubber tree). Lineage: Eukaryota; Viridiplantae; Streptophyta; Magnoliopsida; Malpighiales; Euphorbiaceae. The record is from RNAcentral.